Non-coding RNA from Arachis ipaensis, 160 nucleotides. The record is from RefSeq and is a predicted model, not a curated record. NCBI's taxonomy places the organism in Eukaryota, Viridiplantae, Streptophyta, Magnoliopsida, Fabales, Fabaceae.
UCCUACUCCUUUUUGGUUUUAUGUUUUGGGGGGGGAGGGGGGAUUGUUUAUCAAAUCAAGGAAAAGAUUUAUCAUUCUUUGCUGAAAUUCACUCAAGAGUGUUGCAUAUUAAGAUAAACUCAGAAUUAAGAAUUUGACGUUUGAAAAGGUGAAUGUACAA